AGAGCCAUCUGGUUGCAACAUCUGUCACCCCACUGAUAGCCAGGGCUGAUUCAGCUGAUCUGGCUGGCUAGGCAAGUGUCCCCUUUCCUCCCU
RNAcentral lists this small nuclear RNA (93 nucleotides) under Erinaceus europaeus (western European hedgehog). Its description in RNAcentral is "7SK RNA". It matches the Rfam family "7SK RNA", at positions 8 to 99 of the family's 331-position model. Rfam says of the family: 7SK was discovered as an abundant small nuclear RNA in the mid-70s but a possible function has only recently been suggested. Two independent studies have found that 7SK RNA binds the CDK9/cyclin T complex (known as elongation factor P-TEFb). P-TEFb activates transcription by phosphorylating the C-terminal domain of RNA polymerase II. The record is from Rfam by way of RNAcentral. Lineage: Eukaryota; Metazoa; Chordata; Mammalia; Eulipotyphla; Erinaceidae.